RNAcentral lists this ribosomal RNA (446 nucleotides) under uncultured bacterium. Its description in RNAcentral is "SSU rRNA". It matches the Rfam family "Bacterial small subunit ribosomal RNA", at positions 26 to 518 of the family's 1533-position model. The record is from RNAcentral.
AGAGCGAACGCUGGCGGCAGGCCUAACACAUGCAAGUCGAGCGCCCGUAGCAAUACGGGAGCGGCAGACGGGAUAGUAACACGUGGGAACGCGCCCUUCGGUUCGGAAUAACUCAGGGAAACUUGAGCUAAUACCGAAUACGCCCUUACGGGGAAAGAUUUAUUGCCGAAGGAACGGCCCGCGUCCGAUUAGCUAGUUGGUGAGGUAAUGGCUCACCAAGGCUACGAUCGGUAGCUGGUCUGAGAGGAUGACCAGCAUCACUGGGACUGAGACACGGCCCAGACUCCUACGGGAGGCAGCAGUGGGGAAUAUGGACAAUGGGCGCAAGCCUGAUCCAGCCAUGCCGCGUGGAUGAUGAAGGCCUUAGGGUUGUAAAGUCCUUUUAACGGGAGAUAAUGACGGUACCCGUAGAAUAAGCCCCGGCUAACGUUCGUGCCAGCAGCCGC